UUGGAUUUGAUCCGUUUUAUGUCCUAGAAAACAUUUGUACAGGUCACACUGAACAGCAGAUUGUUGUCUCAAGCCAGUGCUGAUCAAUGACAGUUUAGCUGCAGUCUGUCAGAGAAGAGAGGAAAGAUGACUCUCUCACAGAAACAGAGUGUAAGAUCAGGCUCACAUGUGUCUGUGAAGAGUGACCGGUCAAAGGAUGGUGGCAUGCCGAACUUCAGUGA
Molecule: long non-coding RNA, 221 nt
Organism: Carassius auratus (goldfish)
Lineage: Eukaryota; Metazoa; Chordata; Actinopteri; Cypriniformes; Cyprinidae
Exons: 3
Source: RefSeq, a predicted model, not a curated record